AGCAGUUAAACACUAGCAGCUCUCGACGGAAGUUCUCUAUCUGCAGCAUGGGCAGCAGCAGUGCAAGCUUUCACACUGUGCUCUGCCAACCUGUCUCAAUUCUGACAUGAAGAGGCCAACUUCAGGAGAGAAAGCAGGUAGAGAUGUGCCUGGUUGGCUGCA
Molecule: small RNA, 162 nt
Filed under: Gopherus agassizii (Agassiz's desert tortoise)
Lineage: Eukaryota; Metazoa; Chordata; Testudines; Testudinidae
Description: TUC338 (ENSGAGG00000016157.1)
Source: RNAcentral